AUGUGACCUUCAGCUUCACUGAGUGGAUGUGGGGUCUCCUCUCCCAGGAGAGACCAUCCCAAUUAAACCUCUCCCGGGACUUUCUAACAAGGCUGGAUCAGGAGUCUGGGCAGAAGCUGUGCCAUCAGGGCUGGCCUGGGGUCUGGUCUUCCCCCCAGAUCCCAGAGGUGGCCUCUUUGUCAUCGGGGAGCAAGCCUUUCUCCAGGGCUUGCAUGCCAGGCCCUGCCAGAGGUGGCCUCUUUGUCAUCGGGGAGCAAGCCUUUCUCCAGGGCUUGCUUGCCAGGCCCUGCUCGUCUGUUACACUCAACAUCAGGGCUCCAGGUCCUAACAGCCGUGCCAAGAGGUGGGCAGUCCUAGUCCCAUCUUCAAGAUGGGGCUUCUGCGGGUCAGGGAGGAUAAGUGAAUUGACUAGAAUCUCAACAGCCAGUAGGGAGAGGACCUGGGGUUUGAACCGCAGUCAGCCUGACACCAGAGCUUGUGUAUCUCCCCGGUGCGCCCCCCUGUGGAUGAAGAGGGCCCUGCUCUGGGGCGCCUCUACCGCAGCACAGAUGGAGGGCCAGGGCCUAGGCCGGGUUUGGCACUUGGGGCCAGGCCGUCUUCACAGAUGGGUCAGGACAGAUCCUUCCUGCUUCUAGAUGGUGCUCCUUGGGCUGUCUUUCUGGAUAUGCCCAGUUCACGACUCGGCAGUGCAUGUCUCAUCACAUCAGGGCCCCGGCUUGUCCCCGCCGGCACUGCCCAGCAACCCACAGCGAACUUUGGUGUCCCGCAGAGGAGCAGACUCAGCGGGUGGUGGUGGUGAAUCCCAGCCUCAGGGGGGCCAGAAGGGAGGGAACUCUUCUCCGGAGACUGUUAGCUGGUUAAAACUGCUGCACAGUGACUGUGUUAGUAGGCGCUGUUAGCCCAUUUUACAGAUGGUGACACUGAGGCCCACAGAGCUUAUGUGACCUGCCAGCCUCCCACAGCUGGUUGGAGGCAGGCCUGGGAUUCAGAGUCUGUGUUCUCCCCUGUCCCAGGAUGGCCCUGCUUCUCCGCAGAUUACUUGGAACAUUUGGACAAUGACCUUGCUUCCUUAGGAACCUCUGAGCCCGGCACAGAGUGACCUUAGUCGAGUGCCCAGUACAUGGAGCCUGGGUCAGAUUGGUGCUUUUGCUUCUAGCCAGGACUUGUGUGGGCUGUGUCACAAGUCCCUGUUGCCAAGGAACAGUUCUGACUGCACCUACCGAGCUCCAGCUUGGGGUAGGGCCUCCAGGACCUGUCUUAACCUCUUCACAGUCCAGGGUAGUGGGUCUCAGUGCCCUGGAAGCGCCUGGGCCAGGUUUGUACCACACCAGGAGGACAUGGCAAGUCAGAACUAGAAGCCAGGGAGGGUUCCUGGAGGAGAGGGGUGUUCCCACUGGGCCUUAAAGGAGGGGAGGAAGGUUGGAGACUGGCUUCGCUAGCCUGGGUGCCCCGAGAGGCCAGGGCCGGGGUCUGAUUCACCUGUGGCUCCAGUGCCCAGCUUAGCACAGAGUGGCCAUCAGUAAGUCCGGUCAGCCCAUCAAAAAGGACAACCAGCCCGGUUUCUUAUGAGACCCUGCUGAGAGCCUCAGGUCAGCAGGCGAGUCUGGAGCACCCACAGCCCAGUGAUCCAUGCUGCAGGUUAUCUGUUCUAGAGGUGAAGCCUCCCUGUGGCUGACUUCCCCAUGCCCACUGGGCCUGGCUCUCUGUCACACAGCCCUGGCCUUACACACCCCGCCCAGCCUGACUGGGUAAAACUUGGGUGGUCCGCUCCUCUGCCCUGACCCAAGAGCUUAAUUUUCAAAAUGUCUUUAAAGCGGGAUUCUAGAAUGUUAGAUCUGGAAGAGCCCGUCGGUUCUCCAGCCCACUCUCCUGGCUCACAGUCAGGGACUGAGGUCCGUGGAGGGGCGGAACCUCCCCAGGCCACGUGGGCAGUUGUGAAGCAGAGCUGAGAUUGGAGCCUUAUUCUCCUUCAGGGGCCCCACGCCCCAUCCUCUACCCACCCCAUGGAAGGGAGAGAGCAUUGCCUUCCCUGGUGUGCUGGCGGCGGCAGCCCGGGCUCGAGGUCUGCUUGUGGGGAAGUGGAAGUGAUUACCACAAGAAGAGGCUGGAGAAAGGGCCUCGGUGAAUUCUCAAGCAUGUAAUGAGCAUCAACUCAUCACCUGUCUCUUCAUUCCCCCUCGUCGAGGGCCCCAAGGUCUCAUCUGCUGCUCGGGCUGCUGGCACAGAUGCCUGGAAGAGAGAGCAGAGAGCUGAUUAUGAGCACGGUCCCAAGAGCCCAGACUGGGUUUGAAUCUCAGAUUUGCCACUUAUUAGGCAUGUAAAUGACUGAAGAGCAAAUGACUUAAUAGCCCGGGUCUCAGUCUACUCAUGUAUAAAAUAGGACGAUAACGACACUGUCCACAUGGGAAUGUUGUGAGGAGUAAAUGAGUCAGUGAGUUAGUGCAGGUGAGGUGCUAUGCACAUGGGCCACUGUGGCUGUCACUUUGUUCUUCCUGUUGCUGUGAGGGCUGCUCUGUGGUGCAGGGGCCCAAUCGGUCUCACCGCAGGGUCACGUCCCACAGGCUUCCACCCUCAGGCCACCUGAGUUCACGCUCUGGCCCCUCCCCACCAUCAAAGUGUGACCCACGGAAAAAUGCUGGAAACUUCACUGUCCAGUCAGAAUUCAGGCCAGGGAAUAUUCCAUUCUAGCUGUUUCAAGUAGGAAAUAAACUUUCUACUGAAGAGAUUCCACUCACGGGACGAUUGGAAGGGCUGGGGGUGUGAAGGAGGCCCCUGCAAGGGUUUGGGGAAUCAGAAAAGGUUGGAGCUGAGGGACCUGCCGCCAGUGGCCGGGGAGCCACUGCUCCUGCGCUUCUGUGGGAUCUGAUCUCACCCGCAGGAGCUGAUUCGAAACCAGUGGCCAGGAAGUGGGAAAGUGGUUCGCAGGCAUCCAGCCCCCGAGAUGCGGGAGGGCACAUGGACAGGAGGCGGAAUGGUGCGGAGGCGCCCUGACAUCCUCCCUCUCCUGACAGUUCUGGGAGAAGCUGGGGUGUUUGGGCCAAAGAAAACCUCACUGCCAUGAGGACUGGGUCGGGAGUGGUAUCUUCAGUCCUCAUACCAGCCAUGUGAGAGCCCAGACUUGGAAACUGAAGUGACAGAACCAGGGCAGGACCCCAGGUCUGCCUGCCCAUCAGCCUGGGCCAUGCUCCGAGAUGCUCCCUGAGCUAGGCUGGGCAUCCAGAGGCAUUCCUUCAGCACCCAUUGACUGAUCACCCACUGUGUGCCACGCUGGGUCCCCCAGUGCUUGGAACAUGGCAGAAAACCGAAUGACAAAGAUCACAUCCCGUGGAGGGGAAGUCCAGUGGGAAGGGGGAUGCUGACCUUUCCCCUUCCCCAAAUAUAGAGAAAUAAUCUCUGGUUCUCAGUACCACGAAGGGAAACCUGCCAGGGGAGGGGACUGGGGGUGAGGGUUGUUUGAGGAUAGGCCUGUCGGCAGUAAGAAGAAAGAGCACCAGGGACAGAGGAGGCUGCAAGCGCAUCCCCAGGCAGGCAGAAGAGUGGAAUGUGCGAGAACAGAAGGGGCGAGGAGAUGCGUGUGGGCGGAGGAGAGCUGAGGUAUGUGGUCUGAGAGUCAGUCGGCUGCUCAACCUCGGGCCAGGACAGGGGUUUUGACUUGCGUCUGAGUGAGAUGGAGUCGUCGGAAGGUUCUGUGCAGGAAGAGAUGCGAAAUCACAGAGGCUGCUCAGAGAGGGUGGGUACAGAAAGCUGCGGGUAUGGCAGUCAUGCGGGGUCAGGCCCAAGAGAAAGGGCUCGGAGCUGGGAAAGAGGAGGGUGGAAGCUCGGCCAUGGGAUGCACUUCCUCCCUCUCUGUUUUCCAGAGGCCCAGGUGUGGGGAGCCUGGGUCCAGGGUUUGUGUAUCCUUGUGUGGUGUGGAGGGCUGGCACCUCUAAGUCCCUCCAGUCGUGAGGCUGUGGUGUGAGUGUCCCUGGGUGCACAUGUGUCAUUCCUCCGGGCAUGUGGAGCCAGUGCAUGUUAGCUCUGUGGUCUGCGUUGCUCCGCAGGCAUGCAUAUGUGACCAUGAGCCUAUGGACGUGUGACCUGGGGAGAGCGGGCUUGUGAAUUUCUUUGUGCAUGUGUGUGGGUACCUGCUUGUCUGUAGGAGGCAGCAGUGGGGAAUGUCUGAUUUUGGCCCCGUCACCGUCAGGGUGCUCUGUUGCUUGAUGCUCUGCAGAGCUCAGCUCUCAUUUGUAUAGCAGAUCAAAACAGAUGCCCCUGAGACCCAGUGGAGUUGAUGUGUGCUCUUUGGGGAUUUGGGUUGAGGGUCUGCCCUGUGGGGACAUCUGACAGCUGAAGUAGCAAGGAUGCCCAGCCCCUGGUUCCCACAGCGCUGUGCUUUAAAGCGCAGAGACCCCCUCCUUCCCUGGGGAUCAAGCUGGACCAGGGCUUUCACCACUCAGGAAGACUGUCUAAAGUAUGGGCUCUGCCAGCCCUCUGCCAGUAAGAGAUUCCUAAACCUGGAGGCCUUCCGGACAAGCCAGGACAUCAGCACUGUGGAAAACAGAGAGUUAGGUGUCAGAGGGACCUGGGUUCAAAUCCUACUCUGUCACUUACUACACAUAGUCACUAGUUCAUAGCCUUGGUCAAAUGAUGGCUCAAUUUCCUCUCUGUAGAAUGGGGCCCCAUCUCAGGAUAGUAUCAUGAAGAUUAAAUGAGCACUUUUUAUGUGCCAGGCCCUGUGCUAAGGGCUUUGCAUGGAUCACCUUAUUAAAUGCUCACGCUAACCCUCUAAAGUGGAUGCUGUCCUCAUUUUACUGAAGAAGAAACUGAAGCCCAGAGAGGUGAAGUUACUGGCCCAGGGUCAUUCAGCUGGGACUGGGAGAGCCUGGCUUUGAACUAGGCAGUCUGGCUUCAAAAGCAGCAGCAUGAGGCAGUGAAUAUAAAGCCUAGUGCCUGACUCUAGCAGGUGUCUGGUCCAUGGUGGUUGUUAUUCCUGAUGCCAUUGGGAGAUUCAGGAUCAGGUUCCUGACCCCCAGAAUAGCUCUGGAUUCUCUUUUCUCCUUUUACAGUUGCAGAGACCAAAGGCCACCGGGAAGGGCAAGUGAGGCCUUUCUUCCUCUUCCGAGAGCAGGGCUGAAGGGCAGAGGCCAAGGCCCCCUUGGUUAGCAAACCCCAGUUACAGGGCUGGAGUCUUUGCUGCCCCUCCUGGUGUGGGGAGGCCAUUUGUUGCCAUCAGGUGAGGCAUUGGGGCUGACCUGAGGCACAGACCAGAGGAGGGCCUGACAGGGUGGCCCGGGGCCAGUGCUUGGGCUCUAAGAACAGAGCAACUUCUUCCAAAAGCAUGGCUGUAGGACGCAUGGGUUGGGGAGACCUCAGCGGGGCCUUGGGUGCUGGCCCAGUGGCUCUGGCUCAUGGUUAUACCUUGUGGGCACAGCAUUCAGUCACAGCCCUGCUGAGUCACCCCCAGUGCCAUCUCAGUUCCACUGCCCGGGGAAGAUCAGGGGAGAGAAUGUCUUGAAUGCUGCUUUAUCGCAAUAAGUUUGUCGAUUCAGCUCAUUACAUUUAAUUAGAAUUAUUUAAUUAGAAUCUUAAUAAAAGAGUAAAACAGGAAGGAGGCUGAGAAGCGGAGGUAAGGAAAUCCAUGCUGAGCGUAUGAAGCAGACCCAGCUGGGUGGUGGAGGGGCAGCGGCAGGGGUGGCGGGGGGGCUGCCAGGAGGUUUGCCUGGAAGGCUGGGUAGAGGGGUCUGUGUGCCUGGACCACCAGGCUCCAGGGAUCUGGCGGUGAGGAGAGGGGAGCGUGCUGAGGGCCUGGGGCUGGGCUCUUGCCCACCCACUCUGUACCACGCAGCUUGGCAUGCUGGGUCCUGGGCUGAGGCCGCUGGCCUGGGGAGCUGUAGGACCCAUUUCCCGAUCUCAAGGGAAGCAGACAAGAAGCCAGACAGUCAGAAGGCCCAGUGCCCUUGGCUCUGAUGGGGGCGGCAGAGGUCACUGCACCAGCCCUGGGUGGAGUAUCUAACUGGGCUGGGGUUAGAAAGCUUUCUAGAACAUUGAUGCCUGCCUGCAGUGACACCUGAACAUGGAGUUGCAGUUAAGGCGAGAAAGGGAAGCGCUUCAAGUGGGUUUGAGGGGGUCGCUCUCGUGGUGAGCAGGGUGGAGUUGGGGUUCGGAGCAACGACCUGGAGCCGGUGGCUGCUUCCCCCUCAAGGCACCAUGGGCUCUGGCAAGUUACCCCCCCGCCCCAGCCUCGUUUUCCUCGUCUGUGAAUGAGAGCAACGCCCCCAUCUGGUAGGGCUCUUGUAUGAGCUCAGCUGAUACAUGGACAGCACCGGAAGAGCAGCCGGGCCACGGUCAAUGCUAUGUGCACUGGCUCUUAGACGUCCCUUCUUGUCCAAGGAAAGACAUCCAGGGGGUGGUCAGUUACAUAUGUUUGGGUGGGGACCAGGUUCUGGGGGUCAUCAAUGAAGCCACCAGUGUGAGUAGGCACCUCAAGAGAGAAUGGGGGUCACUGCUGCCAUCUGUCGCCUCCAUUUUCUCUUUCCUCACUCCCAGGAAGACCGUUUUGUUCAGAGAUCUGCCCCCAGCAGAGCCCUCGCUUUUCAGGACAGCUGACCCCACAGCCCAGCUCCAGAGAGGAGGGAUCUGGAGAGACUCAGCCAAGUCUGGCCGUGACAUUCCCUUGGUGCCGGUUCUCCACGAGGCUGGAGAGCCGGCCUGGUUCUAUGGUCAGGGGAGAUUUGUCCUCUCCUCCCUCCCCCUUCCCCAUUCCUCCCCCUUCCCCCCCUCCUUUUCCCCCUCUUCCUCUCCCUCCCUGGCACAUACUCAAAGAGGCAGGUGGCUCCAUUGCCACCCCUUAGGGAAUCAGAGCUAGGAUGAAGCCAGGGGUGUGCUGGCAUACCACCUCUCCAAUU
Molecule: long non-coding RNA, 6884 nt
Filed under: Sus scrofa (pig)
Lineage: Eukaryota; Metazoa; Chordata; Mammalia; Artiodactyla; Suidae
Description: lncRNA (ENSSSCG00000058342.1)
Source: RNAcentral